CGCUUUGUGCAAUGCCAGUAUCGUAGCCAGUGAGGCUUAUCUGAGGCUCAAUUAUUGCUAAUUGAACUACGUUACAUAAAACCAUUAAAUGGUACUAUUUUAAGUGAACUGGGGUGUUUGUUAAUUGUUAUUUGGGUGACUCCGGAAAACUAAAACUUAAUGACCUUAAUAA
Molecule: small nuclear RNA, 172 nt
Filed under: Ursus thibetanus thibetanus
Lineage: Eukaryota; Metazoa; Chordata; Mammalia; Carnivora; Ursidae
Description: U4 spliceosomal RNA (ENSUTTG00000018038.1)
Rfam family: U4 spliceosomal RNA (bases 1-132)
About the family: U4 small nuclear RNA (U4 snRNA) is a component of the major U2-dependent spliceosome.
Source: RNAcentral